GAGGCUAUAGCUCAGUGGUAGAGUGCAUGCUUAGCAUACACAGGGUCCUAGGUUCAAUUCCCAGUACCUCCA
This 72-nucleotide transfer RNA is filed under the name Camelus bactrianus (Bactrian camel). It matches the Rfam family "tRNA". Rfam says of the family: Transfer RNA (tRNA) molecules are approximately 80 nucleotides in length. Their secondary structure includes four short double-helical elements and three loops (D, anti-codon, and T loops). Lineage: Eukaryota; Metazoa; Chordata; Mammalia; Artiodactyla; Camelidae. RNAcentral also lists the same sequence under 2 other names. The record is from Rfam by way of RNAcentral.